This is a small nucleolar RNA of Suncus etruscus (white-toothed pygmy shrew), 126 nucleotides long. RefSeq annotates it as small nucleolar RNA SNORA14. Lineage: Eukaryota; Metazoa; Chordata; Mammalia; Eulipotyphla; Soricidae. The record is from RefSeq and is a predicted model, not a curated record. The transcript has a single exon.
GUGCAUUCUUAAACUGUCUUGGUAGCAUCCUGUGCUUCGAAGAUAUGAGUGAAUGAUAUAGAAAUUUCCAGGGAGUCCAAAGGGCUGUGCUUCUCCUAUGACAAUUCCCAAAUAUGCUAUUGAUUU